CCUACGGGAGGCAGCAGUGGGGAAUAUUGCACAAUGGGGGGAACCCUGAUGCAGCGACGCCGCGUGGGUGAGGAAGUACUUCGGUAUGUAAAGCCCUAUCAGCAGGGAAGAAAAUGACGGUACCUGACUAAGAAGCCCCGGCUAACUACGUGCCAGCAGCCGCGGUAAUACGGAGGGGGCAAGCGUUAUCCGGAUUUACUGGGGGUAAAGGGAGCGUAGAGGGGGUCGCAAGUUUGGUGUGAAAGCCCGGGGCUCAACCCCGGGACUGCAUUUGAAACUGGCUUGCUGGAGUCCCGGAGGGGCAAGCGGAAUUCCUAGUGUAGCGGUGAAAUGCGUAGAGAUUAGGAGGAACACCAGUGGCGAAGGCGGCUUGCUGGACGGUAACUGACGUUGAGGCUCGAAAGCGUGGGGAGCAAACAGGAUUAGAUACCCGGGUAGUC
Molecule: ribosomal RNA, 440 nt
Filed under: uncultured bacterium
Lineage: Bacteria
Description: partial 16S ribosomal RNA
Rfam family: Bacterial small subunit ribosomal RNA
Source: RNAcentral